Molecule: small nuclear RNA, 104 nt
Organism: Chlorocebus sabaeus (green monkey)
Lineage: Eukaryota; Metazoa; Chordata; Mammalia; Primates; Cercopithecidae
Source: Ensembl
GUGCUCGCUUCGGCAGCCCAUAUACUAAAAUUGGAACGAUACAGAGAUUAGCAUGGACCCUGCACAAGCAUGACAUGCAAAUUCAUGAAGCAUUCCAUAUUUUU